Molecule: transfer RNA, 66 nt
Filed under: Nothopuga sp. 1 LP-2008
Lineage: Eukaryota; Metazoa; Arthropoda; Arachnida; Solifugae; Ammotrechidae
Description: tRNA-Trp
Source: RNAcentral
AAGACUUUAAGUUAUUCAAACUAAUAACCUUCAAAGUUAUAAUUAUAAUUAUAUUUAUAAGUCUUA